UACGUAGGGUGCAAGCGUUGUCCGGAAUUAUUGGGCGUAAAGAGCGUGUAGGCGGCCCGGUAAGUCCGCUGUGAAAGUCCAGGGCUCAACCCUGGGAUGCCGGUGGAUACUGUCGGGCUCGAGUCCGGAAGAGGAGUGUGGAAUUCCUGGUGUAGCGGUGAAAUGCGCAGAUAUCAGGAGGAACACCAAUGGCGAAGGCAGCACUCUGGGACGUGACUGACGCUGAGACGCGAAAGCGUGGGGAGCAAACAGG
RNAcentral lists this ribosomal RNA (253 nucleotides) under uncultured bacterium. RNAcentral's name for it is "partial 16S ribosomal RNA". It matches the Rfam family "Bacterial small subunit ribosomal RNA", at positions 524 to 776 of the family's 1533-position model. The record is from RNAcentral.